Molecule: ribosomal RNA, 526 nt
Filed under: uncultured bacterium
Lineage: Bacteria
Description: bacterial SSU rRNA
Rfam family: Bacterial small subunit ribosomal RNA
Source: RNAcentral
GUACAUCCAGAGAACUUAGCAGAGAUGCUUGGUGCCUUCGGGAACUCUGAGACAGGUGCUGCAUGGCUGUCGUCAGCUCGUGUUGUGAAAUGUUGGGUUAAGUCCCGNAACGAGCGCAACCCUUAUCCUUUGUUGCCAGCGGUUCGGCCGGGAACUCAAAGGAGACUGCCGGUGAUAAACCGGAGGAAGGUGGGGAUGACGUCAAGUCAUCAUGGCCCUUACGGCCAGGGCUACACACGUGCUACAAUGGCGCAUACAAAGAGAAGCGACCUCGCGAGAGCAAGCGGACCUCAUAAAGUGCGUCGUAGUCCGGAUUGGAGUCUGCAACUCGACUCCAUGAAGUCGGAAUCGCUAGUAAUCGUAGAUCAGAAUGCUACGGUGAAUACGUUCCCGGGCCUUGUACACACCGCCCGUCACACCAUGGGAGUGGGUUGCAAAAGAAGUAGGUAGCUUAACCUUCGGGAGGGCGCUUACCACUUUGUGAUUCAUGACUGGGGUGAAGUCGUAACAAGGUAAGCGUAGCGAG